Molecule: ribosomal RNA, 381 nt
Filed under: uncultured Glomeromycotina
Lineage: Eukaryota; Fungi; Glomeromycota
Description: partial large subunit ribosomal RNA
Source: RNAcentral
UUGAAAGGGAAACGAUUGAAGUCAGUCGUACCGACGAAGAAUCAACUUUUGGAGUGCGAAUCGAGGUAUUCGAGGAGUUUAAAAGCCCUUGUGUGUUUCGUAUUCGUGCUUCUUGGGUGCUUUUCUUCGUAUGGUAGGUUAACAUCAAUUUUGGACGUUACAAAAUGAUCGGGGGAAUGUAGCUUCGAUUUUUCGAAGUGUUAUAGCCCUUGGUAGAUGUGACGACCGGGAUUGAGGAUUGCAACGAAUGCUUUCGGGCUAUCCGUCGGACCUCGGGUGGUUGCUUUAGGGUCGAAAGCGUGCUUACGACUUUAAAUNUGGCUAUUAAAAGUNUAGANUGUGAUUNNCANGCANCNNACUUNCGUUAAGGAUGUUGACGUA